This 1557-nucleotide ribosomal RNA is filed under the name Triticum aestivum (bread wheat). RNAcentral describes it as "partial small subunit ribosomal RNA". Lineage: Eukaryota; Viridiplantae; Streptophyta; Magnoliopsida; Poales; Poaceae. The record is from RNAcentral.
AUGGCACUCUUCUCGUCGCCAGAGCCACACCACCUCCUCGUCUCCUUUCUUGUCUUGCUUCUCUCCUUGCUCUUCUGCUUCAUCAAGUUGAGGAGUUCAAAGACUGUCCCAACGCUUCCAGCGGAAUGGCCCCUGGUUGGCAUGCUCCCUUCCGUUGUCGCCAACCUCCACCGCUUCCAUGACUACACCACCUCCUUGCUCGCCGCUGCCGGCAGUAGCUUCGUGUUUCGUGGGCCUGCCAUGCACUUCUUCGUCACCUGCGACACAGCCAACGUCCGCCACAUCUUCGUCUCGAACUUCACAAAUUACCCCAAGGGCGAGGAGUUCGCUGCCAUCUUCGACGCCAUGGGGAACAGCUUCUUCAACGCGGACGGCGAGUCAUGGCGGCGCCAGCGUGGCAGAGUGCAGCACCUCAUGUCGAGCCCACAGUUGCUGGCUCACAUGGCCCGUUGCUGCCGCGAUAAGCUGGAGAACGGCCUCCUCCCCUUCUUGGCGCGCAUGGAGAGCCUAACCUCGUUGGAUAUGCAGGACCUGUUUACCAGGUUCACAUUCGACAUGACGGCCAUGUCGGUCUUUGGGGUCGACCCUGGCCUUCUGACCGCCGAUAUGCCACCUGUAAUUGUGCCGGAUGCCAUGGAAGCUGUCAUGGAUGUAGGCUUCAUCCGGAACAUGGUGCCAUCAUCUUGUUGGAAGUUGAUGAAGUGUCUAAAAAUCGGCCCGGAGCGGAAGCUCACCGCAGCGCAAUCGGAACUGCACCGAUUUGUCAGAGAGAUGAUGAAGAAGUGGAGAGACGGACCAGCCCACAUGGACAUGGAUAAAGAGCAAGAUAAAAAGAAGGUACAAAUUGUUUCUUCCUACAUCCAUGACCCAGAGUAUACCGACGACCACGGAAAACCUAAUGCCUUCCUGUACGCGACCCUGAUCAACUACAUGUUUGCUGGGCGUGACACGGUCGGCACGACCCUCACCUGGCUCUUCUACAACCUCAUCAAACACCCACACGUCGUGUCGAGCAUCAGAAGAGAACUAGCUCCCAUUGCCAUGCACAAAGCAACCACCACCAGCGGCAACCACAUGAUGAUCUUUGAGCCAGAGGAGACCGAACCGCUCGUCUACCUGCACGCGGCAUUGUUCGAAUCCAUGAGGCUGUACCCACCGGGCCCCAUCGAGCGCAAGACGGUGAUGACCGACGACAUACUGCCGAGCGGUCACAAGGUGCAAAAGGGUGAAACCAUCCUGAUUUCACUCUACUCAAUGGGCAGGAUGGAAGGUGUGUGGGGCAAGGAUUGCACGGAGUACCGCCCAGAAAGGUGGGUCAAAGAGGACGGCAAGCUUCUGUACGUACCGUCCUACAAGUUCCUAGCAUUCAACGCCGGGCCGAGAUCGUGCUUGGGCAAGCACAUCUCGGUAGUGCAUAUGAAGAGUGUCGUUGCCGCCAUGGUGUGGAACUUGGAUUUUGAAAUGGUGGGAGGGUACGUUGUAGAGCCAAAGUCAUCAGUUGUGCUCAAGAUGAAGAAUGGGUUGUGGGCCAAGAUCCUCAAACGGCGGAUCGAAUGA